Molecule: long non-coding RNA, 305 nt
Filed under: Bos taurus (domestic cattle)
Lineage: Eukaryota; Metazoa; Chordata; Mammalia; Artiodactyla; Bovidae
Description: long non-coding RNA NONBTAT011834
Source: RNAcentral
GUGUCAGAGGAGUUGCAGAAAACUGGGUAUUUAAAUAUCCAUUUUCCUUGGAGUCAUGCAGAAUUUUGGUACAGCCCAUUACAGGACUACUAUUGGGGAGUUGACUUUGUUGGGUAAGAGACUAAGAAAGCAAAUGUAAAUUUCAGGAUGACCCCUGAGCCGGCAGUACCCAGUGGCCACCUGUAGGUGGGUGUGUUAGCCUGUAAGUUUUUAAAAUUUUUGCUCUGCUGGGCAAGCAGCCAGUUUGUCUCUCUGGUGUCUGAGAUUGUUUGGAGUUUUUUGAUGACCUAGCAUGUUACACAAAU